UACGUAGGGAGCAAGCGUUAUCCGGAUUUAUUGGGUGUAAAGGGUGCGUAGACGGAGAAGCAAGUUAGUUGUGAAAUCCCUCGGCUUAACUGAGGAACUGCAACUAAAACUACUUCCCUUGAGUACCGGAGAGGAAAGUGGAAUUCCUAGUGUAGCGGUGAAAUGCGUAGAUAUUAGGAGGAACACCAGUGGCGAAGGCGACUUUCUGGACAGUAACUGACGUUGAGGCACGAAAGUGUGGGGAGCAAACAGG
Molecule: ribosomal RNA, 253 nt
Filed under: uncultured bacterium
Lineage: Bacteria
Description: partial 16S ribosomal RNA
Rfam family: Bacterial small subunit ribosomal RNA
Source: RNAcentral